UUUAAUUAUUAUAUAUAAAAGUGAAAAUACAAAAUAUAAAUUAAUUUUAGUUGGGGCAACUGGGAGGGAUAAAAAUCUUUUAUUAAAUCAUUUAUAGUAAUAUUUAUAUUUAUGAUCCAAAUUAGUUAAUUUUGAACUUAGAAU
Molecule: ribosomal RNA, 144 nt
Filed under: Ledella ultima
Lineage: Eukaryota; Metazoa; Mollusca; Bivalvia; Nuculanida sp.; Nuculanidae
Description: partial small subunit ribosomal RNA
Source: RNAcentral